Molecule: ribosomal RNA, 253 nt
Filed under: uncultured bacterium
Lineage: Bacteria
Description: partial 16S ribosomal RNA
Rfam family: Bacterial small subunit ribosomal RNA
Source: RNAcentral
UACGUAGGGUGCGAGCGUUGUCCGGAAUUAUUGGGCGUAAAGGGCUCGUAGGCGGUUUGUCGCGUCGGGGGUGAAAACCUUGGGCUUAACUCAGGGCUUGCUUUCGAUACGGGCAGACUAGAGGUAUGCAGGGGAGAACGGAAUUCCUGGUGUAGCGGUGAAAUGCGCAGAUAUCAGGAGGAACACCGGUGGCGAAGGCGGGUCUCUGGGCUGAGAUUGACGCUCAGGCACGAAAGCGUGGGGAGCAAACAGG